Molecule: RNA transcript, 1752 nt
Organism: Medicago truncatula (barrel medic)
Lineage: Eukaryota; Viridiplantae; Streptophyta; Magnoliopsida; Fabales; Fabaceae
Exons: 2
Source: RefSeq, a predicted model, not a curated record
CAACCAACCAACCAUUUAUCUUGUUUGAAUAAGCCUAGCAACCACAUGUUUAUGCCAUGAUGUUAUCCUUAACAAUAUACUCAUGUCUUAUAUUACCUCAAAAAUAUUCAUAUAUAAUCGAUCUACAUAAAUGUCCUUCCAAGCCUCAACGUAUAAAAUAAAAUAACCUGAAAUAAUUUAAUGGGUGACGUCCGAGUUCUCUCCUCCGAUACAAUCAAGGCACCAAAAUCAAGUGACCAAACAAUCCAUUUGACUCCAUGGGAUCUCCGCUUUCUACUUGUUUCAACCAACAAAAAGGGCCUUCUUUAUCGCCAUCCGGUUGUAGCAACCCAAAUCCAACGGCUGAGACACUCUCUAUCCUCUGCCCUUUCCUUUUUUCAACCUCUUGCUGGCCGUCUUGAAAUAACGGAACACAAGGACAAUACUGUCUCGUGUUCUGUUAUAUGCAACAAUGCAGGUGUACUCUUUAUCCACGCUGCAGCCGAGAAUACUUGUGUUGCUGACAUCCUAGAACCGGUCUACGUACCUCAAAUUGUCGAUUCACUAUUUGCCUUUAUAGGAGAUAAAAGCUACGAAGGCACGUCAAAACCAUUGUUGGCUGUUCAAGUAACGGAGCUAGUUGACGGUGUCUUUAUUGGUUGCACAUUCAACCAUGUUGUUGUUGACGGAAAGUCCGUGUGGCAUUUCAUCAAUUCAUGGGCUGAAAUCUCACGUAGUUGUUGUCAUCAUCAAAUAUCUAAACCUCCAACAUCUGAACGUUGGUUUCCAAAUGGUAUUCAACUUCCCAUACGAUUUCCUUUCUUUUUGGAGUUAGAAAAGAAUCACUCUGAUAGGUUGACUACUUCGUCAUCUAAUGAUGAAAAACUUUGUUUAUCAAAUAGAUUAUUCCACUUUACAAAGGAGAAAAUCGUGCAACUGAAAUCAAAAAUCAACAAAGAGAUUGGUAACAUCAAAAUAUCUUCUCUACAAGCGCUUCUAACUCAUGUUUGGUGCUAUGUGACCCGUUUCAAACAAUUUGACCCACAAGAAGAAGUAUUUAAUAGAGUCGCGAUAGGAGUUAGACCAAGGCUUAUUCCACCAUUACCAGAAGAUUAUUUUGGAAAUGCACUUAUAAGUUGUAUGGUUAAAAUGAAAGCUGAGGAAUUGUUGGAGGAAGGUGGACUUUGUAAAGGUGCUUGUGAGAUGAACAAGUUAAUUGCUUCACACACUGAUGAGAUGUUGAAGAAUCACUACGAGUCUUGGUUAAAAAAUCCAAGCUUCCUUAGGAUAACCAACAUAGCCAAAAACAAUUUCUUAGUCGUAGUGGAUAUAAAAUGAAAGGACUUGUUAAUGUAUUUGCUGGAAUAGAAGAAGGUAGUAUUGACCUUCAAAUCUGUCUUCCUUACGAGAUUUUGGAGGCAAUGGGAAAUGACCCUCAAUUUGUGGAUGUUGUGUCCAACUAAUGCAACGUGAGUGACUGAUGAGUAUUUUGCAAGAACCCUAGCAAUUGCAAACAAGAUGUCUGCACAUGGAGAAAGAAAGGAAAAACAACUAUGGUGGAGAAGAUUCUUAGGUCCAUGACUUCAAGAUUCAACUAUGUGGUUUGCUCCAUAGAAGAAUCCAAUGACCUUACCACUUUUUCCAUUAAUGAACUGCAAAGCAAUUUUCUUGUUCAAGAAGCAAGAAUGACACUUCACAAGAAAAAGGAAGAAGAACAACUCUUGAAGGUGUCAAAUUCAAGAAGAGGAAGAACUGGAGAUGGUGGUUUUACUC